This 700-nucleotide ribosomal RNA is filed under the name Enterobacteriaceae bacterium N8PO2. Its description in RNAcentral is "bacterial SSU rRNA". It matches the Rfam family "Bacterial small subunit ribosomal RNA", at positions 67 to 755 of the family's 1533-position model. The record is from RNAcentral. Lineage: Bacteria; Pseudomonadati; Pseudomonadota; Gammaproteobacteria; Enterobacterales; Enterobacteriaceae.
CGGCAGCGGGGGAGAAGCUUGCUCUCCUGCCGGCGAGUGGCGGACGGGUGAGUAAUGUCUGGGGAUCUGCCCGAUGGAGGGGGAUAACCACUGGAAACGGUGGCUAAUACCGCAUGAAGUCGCAAGACCAAAGUGGGGGACCUUCGGGCCUCACGCCAUAGGAUGAACCCAGAUGGGAUUAGCUGGUAGGUGGGGUAAAGGCCCACCUAGGCGACGAUCCCUAGCUGGUCUGAGAGGAUGACCAGCCACACUGGAACUGAGACACGGUCCAGACUCCUACGGGAGGCAGCAGUGGGGAAUAUUGCACAAUGGGGGGAACCCUGAUGCAGCCAUGCCGCGUGUAUGAAGAAGGCCUUAGGGUUGUAAAGUACUUUCAGUCAGGAGGAAGGGUGAGCAGUGAAUAGCUGUUUGCAUUGACGUUACUGACAGAAGAAGCACCGGCUAACUCCGUGCCAGCAGCCGCGGUAAUACGGAGGGUGCAAGCGUUAAUCGGAAUUACUGGGCGUAAAGCGCACGCAGGCGGUCUGUUAAGUCAGAUGUGAAAUCCCCGGGCUUAACCCGGGAACUGCAUUUGAAACUGGCAGGCUGGAGUCUCGUAGAGGGGGGUAGAAUUCCAGGUGUAGCGGUGAAAUGCGUAGAGAUCUGGAGGAAUACCGGUGGCGAAGGCGGCCCCCUGGACGAAGACUGACGCUCAGGUGCG